UUUCGUUUCAGGCCCAAGACAGUUCCUGG
This 29-nucleotide non-coding RNA is filed under the name Rattus norvegicus (Norway rat). Lineage: Eukaryota; Metazoa; Chordata; Mammalia; Rodentia; Muridae. The record is from RNAcentral.